This 98-nucleotide small RNA is filed under the name Escherichia coli. RNAcentral describes it as "partial RtT sRNA". It matches the Rfam family "RtT RNA", at positions 1 to 93 of the family's 130-position model. From Rfam's summary of the family: This family represents a bacterial cis-regulatory element known as RtT RNA. The exact function of RtT is unknown although it is thought that it may be involved in changing the cellular response in relation to amino acid starvation. The record is from RNAcentral. Lineage: Bacteria; Pseudomonadati; Pseudomonadota; Gammaproteobacteria; Enterobacterales; Enterobacteriaceae. RNAcentral also lists the same sequence under 2 other names.
UUGCAUUUGAAGCCCAUGAGGAUGAGAACCUCCGGGGGCGGGGAGGUUCGACUCGAGCGAAGCGAGAGAACGUUGCGCCAGCAACGGCCCGCAGGGCG